AUGAAGAUGAAGAUGAAGAUGAAGAUGAAGAUGAAGAAGAAUAGUUCAAUAAAUAUGCUCUUCACAUAUUUGAAAUGGCUUUUAAUGGAUUUUUGAAGACUUGGAGCCAGGCUCUAUCUCUUUGCAUUACACAGGUGAACUGCCUUCACCUGUGGUCCUGCAGCUGACUUAGUGGUUGCCUCACAUGAUCAAUCAGUGGUUCAGGCCAAUCUUCAACACUUCCCAUACACUCAACCCCUUCAUAGUAUGAACCAAUCAGUUAAGUAGACAGUGAGCCUUCCCUAAUACAUAGAGAUCUGACACACCACAACGCUAUACCAUUGCCCGUCACGAUAACACUAUUUAAUAAGAGUGAUAAUCAGUAUACAGUGUAUGUUCAUGCUCUUUCAUGAGCCCGUGCUUCAUGUUAUUACUGGAGGCAUGUGGUCUUGACGUUAAGGCCCAUCCUGUGCUCCAUCAGUCCAAUGUAGACGGUUCACUGGGUGUCGCACAAGAUCUCACAGGAACGCUAUGAUGGUAUUUUGUUCCUUCCGAUCAUCCUAGAGGCUUGAAGACUCAUAGAGACUAAUACACAGGUUUGAGGGGUACAAGCAGGAGAAGGUCCACCCUCCAGGGUGAGAUACAGGCUUUAUUUCCAUCUUGGGUCAUCACUACAGUCUGUUCAGGGGCAUGCCCCAACUGCCUGUACCGUACCCUUUGGCCAGAUUUCUGCAGCUGCUCAACUACAUCAGUCAUCGGAGGGGGUGUCCUCAUCUGCCAUAGGGACAUGAUGGGGGGGUCCCUUUAGCAAGGGAGAUCAGAGUGUUGACUACAAUAUCCGUAGGCCACAGACCUAUUGGUGGGAUAAUCAAAAAUAAAUGAAAAAGCUCAUCCACAUCCUAGGCUCGCAGAGAAACUCCCAAAGGAAGCAACUUCCAAGAAGGGAUCCUUCCUCAGUGGCUGUUAGCCCUUAAACGGGGGCUAGGAGAGGGGGAGCUGGGCUCCACCACUUUUGGUCACACAGUUCCUGUAAGGACAGAGGGAAGGGGAACAAGAGAGAGAAAGAGAACACACCGGAAUUUAUGUAUUCUUCUUCUCUUUGAGCUCUGAAGUAUGAGAAUUCAGCAUGCCAGAUUAUGGUACUGUUUGUGGUGUAAUUUGUCAUGGACAAUUGUGCUCUUUCUUCACCAUCUUUGUUAGUAAUUGAUACUCCUUCCAAGAUAUAAACACUGUAUUUCUGCCAUGACAGACAACAAAUCUGCAAUAGAGAUUCACAGAUAAUUAAAACAAACAAUCAAACCCGUUUAUGUUGUUUCUACUCAUCCUUUCAGCACAAGUGUCUCUUCUGGAGUAAGUGCUUCAACUAUUCAAUGCAUUUUAAAAGCAUCGCUAACAAGGAGCCAGUAUAGCUAGGAGCAGCGCUGAUAAGGAGCAUACACUGAUUUCCUUUCCUGGAAAUCUUAUGUAUUUUCCUUACCUUAUUGUAUGAAAGUAUUUGCAUUCUUAAGGGAGCAUAGCCUCAGGGCUGGCAUUUGCAUCUGUGUUAUCCUCUAACCACAGGGUACAGUGACCAGAAAUCAGUUCUUGGCUGCAGGAUCAAAUGUGGGGCCAAACUUUUUUAUUGAAUAAGUGAGCUGUAAGACUAUAAGCUGCAGUUUCCUUUUUGGCUAAACAUUAUUAAUACCAGUAAUCCACAAACUCAGCAUCCUUUAAAACUGAUAAUAGUUCAAACUAACAGCAUCCUGCUUAUGUAGCCCCUCAGCCCUUACAAACUCCAUAAACAGAGAUUUCCAAGUCUAUGAAGUUGUGCCUCUUUUUCUGGUUGUUUGAAAACUCUUCCUUUAGAUGGAAUACCAAAAUAAGGAUUUCUCUUCCAUUUCUUUCUUAAGAAAAAUCCUACUAGCUGCCAGCAGUGUUGGAAAAUUUGAACUCAAGUACAUGCACAAAAUAAGCAAUUCCAGCCUUGCCACCGAGUGCUGGCUGAGAUGCUCAGCUGUGUUUUGAAAGGGCUGCCUCCAGGAGCAAAAUACAAGUUCAACGAUGCAGCUCGUAUAAUAUUUUCCAGUAUAAAGGAUCACUAACACACAAAUACUUUCAAGACUGUUCCAUCAAGUCAUAUAAGAAAAUACAGAAUAUAGUGGUGUUUUUUUUUUUUUUUUAUUUGAUAGUACAUUUGAAUCUAGUUCUCAUCAGGCAGGGCUGGAUUGGGUCUUUCACAUAUAAGCAAUAAUGGUUAAAGCAAGGUAUUUUAAUUGACCAUAUCAAUGAAACAUUUUCCAGAAAAUACUGUAAAAGGCCCUAGUAAAGGACAAGAAUUUGGGUAGAUUAGUAACAGUUUAGAAUAUUCAUUGGGAGAAUUUGCUUUAAAAUUAUCAAAACAGUUAUUUGGAUGUAGCAAUAAAGCCUAAUUUACAAUAGUACUGAGCAGCAAGAAGCAAAGCGUGUUAACUGCAAUAACUGGC
Molecule: long non-coding RNA, 2441 nt
Filed under: Gallus gallus (chicken)
Lineage: Eukaryota; Metazoa; Chordata; Aves; Galliformes; Phasianidae
Source: RNAcentral